RNAcentral lists this transfer RNA (79 nucleotides) under Schizophyllum commune. RNAcentral's name for it is "tRNA-Arg". It matches the Rfam family "tRNA". From Rfam's summary of the family: Transfer RNA (tRNA) molecules are approximately 80 nucleotides in length. Their secondary structure includes four short double-helical elements and three loops (D, anti-codon, and T loops). The record is from RNAcentral. Lineage: Eukaryota; Fungi; Basidiomycota; Agaricomycetes; Agaricales; Schizophyllaceae. RNAcentral also lists the same sequence under 2 other names.
GGCCGCCUGGCGUAAUGGCAACGCGUCUGACUACGACUUGGUAAUCAGGAGAUUGCAGGUUCGACCCCUGCGGUGGUCA